This 219-nucleotide non-coding RNA is filed under the name Clostridiales bacterium. RNAcentral describes it as "T-box sequence". It matches the Rfam family "T-box leader". Rfam says of the family: Uncharged tRNA acts as the effector for transcription antitermination of genes in the T-box leader family. T-boxes are found upstream of many aminoacyl-tRNA synthetase genes and some amino acid biosynthetic genes usually in Gram-positive bacteria. Lineage: Bacteria; Bacillati; Bacillota; Clostridia; Eubacteriales. The record is from RNAcentral.
GCAAAUACGAUGAUUAAGGAAGAGUAGCACGCACCGGGCAUCUCUAGAGAAUUUCGGGUUGGUGGAACGAAAUGAUGACGUGAGUGUGAAUGGGCCUUAUAGUUGCGAGAUGAACGAGCAGUAGUCGAGCCGCAAGCCAGCGUUAACGGGCUAGAGAUAUGUUUGUAUCUCGAGAAAACAAACCCAAAAAGGUGGCACAACGAUCACUUCGUCCUUUGC